UAUAAAGCCUCUGCUCUGUAUUGUUUAUGUUUGUUUUCUUUGGUGUUCAGCAGGUUCACAGACAGCUCUUGCUGUCUUUCAUUCUUUGCUGCUUCUGUAAAACUCCUAGAGAGCAUCCAAAGGAGGGUUAUGAAGAUGUGAAGGUUCUGGAGGGUUCUUUCUGACUCAGGGUAUUCUGUGAUUAUAAAAGAGAGGAGUGGCAAGCAAGGAUGGAAUCAUCACAAAGGGGAGAAUUUGCACUUAGUGGGAGACAAUCAAGGUGCUGGGUGCACUUAUCACACUUGCCUGUGUCAUACUGCUGUCUCCUCUGCCUCUGCUUUUCCACAUGAGAACUCUGCUACGUGAAGGCCAAGGUUGUCUUUUGCUGGAUUGUUUCUUACUUCUUGUGGAUCGUGAGGCUGCAUGAAUGCUUGAGCUGACACCAGCAAAAGGGCAGAUUAAAAAUGGUGGUCCUGUUCUUAAAGGGGACUGUGGCCAUGCUGAGCGCUUCCCAGGAUGAGACCUCAUGUUAAAAUUCCAUGUCUGAAAGCAGCUUUGGAAAGGCAAUGGCAAAUCAAUUUCUUCUGAGGAGGAUACACAACUGGCAACAAAUGUAGACAGGAAGCGGUAUCUGUUUAGAGCAUCAUGCAAUAGGCUUCAACCUUGGUUUCUGCUUGCUUUCUGCCUCUUGAAGAAUAAAUGAAAACGUAUCUAGAGAAAUGAGGUUCCUAGAAAGAAGUUAAAAUUCCAGAUGGAUGAUACCACCCAGGCACCAGCUGUUGAGGAGCGAAAUCUUUGUCAAGCAAUACCAAGGAGCAAUCAAAGGUCACCUGGGCACUGGAAAUGUUUCUGUGAAGGCUGAAGCUCACAACUCUACAAGAGAAUCCAUGGUGAUCUCUAGAGGUGAGAGGUUGCUUUAUCUGGGUUUCCCUUCAUUUCAAAGACUUGCAUUUCAAUUUCACUUCAUUUCAAAGACUGUUCUUUCAUAUUCACAAAAUGUGCUGAGCAUGAUGUACUAGGAUGUGAUGACCUCUAGGUUUUGCUGGUGGGGCAGAGGUGGGGUGUGCAGCAGGUAGGAGCUCUUUUUGCAUGGUGCUGAUGUCACGUGGAUGUGUUCUGGGCAGUGCAUGCCAAUGACAUGGUUGGAGGUGAGUCCAACAUGUAAGCACACACUCUAUGCAAUCACAUGUGUGAUAGGUUCUCUCAUGUCUUUACUAAAUGCUGCUCAGCAGUAGGAAACCAGGUUCUCUCUGGGUUACCAGAUUUACUAAUAUUAGAUUGGUGCAAGACUAUUUAAUGCUUGCAAGUGAUCAAAGGCACAGAGCAGACUCCAAAAGAGAUAAAGUGAAAUGAAUGAGACUGUUGUGACUGUCACCAAAAAAUGUUAUUGUUUGAAAGAAUGCACUUCCAUUCUUUCCAGUCCAUUUUAGAAUGCCCCCAAAAAUUGAGUUUCUGAAGAAUCCUACGUCACCUAGAACAUGCUCUAUUGGUCCAUAAAAUAAGCUUUCUCUGUUGUUCCUUAAAUAGAAUUAUCUUUUCAGUGCUUUCAAAACAAAACUUUAUGUCUCUAUUCUAACAUAGGGCUGUUAAGCACAUAGAAUCUUUGUUGUUUGUGUGGAUUUUUUAGGAACCUUAGAAGCAUUUGGAAUUCUAACCCUUUUACUUUC
RNAcentral lists this long non-coding RNA (1646 nucleotides) under Phasianus colchicus (ring-necked pheasant). RNAcentral's name for it is "lncRNA (ENSPCLG00000001349.1)". Lineage: Eukaryota; Metazoa; Chordata; Aves; Galliformes; Phasianidae. The record is from RNAcentral.